GACGAACGCUGGCGGCGUGCUUAAUACAUGCCAGUCGAACGGAAAGGCGCUGCUUUUGUGGGUUGCUCGAGUGGCGAACGGGUGAGUAACACGUGAGGAUACUGCGCUUUACUGUGGGAUAACUUCAGGAAACUGGGGCUAAUAUCGGGUAUGAGCUCGUGCUGCAUGUGUGGGGUUGGAAAGUUUCGCAGUUGGGGGAUGGACUGGCGGUCUAGCCUCGUGUUGGUGGGUUAGUGACGUACCACGGCUUUGAGGGGUAGCCGGCCUGGGAGGGUGACCGGCCCCAUUGGGACUGAGAUGGGGCCCGGACUGAUACGGGAGCAAGGAGUGCGGACUUGUGCACAAUAGGCGGAAGGAUGAUGCAAGAACGUCGCGUGCGAGAUGACGGCCUUCGGGUUAUAAACCGCUUUAGACUGUAACGAAGCGUGAGUGACGGUAAUGGGUAAGGAAGCAACGGCUAACUACGUG
This 468-nucleotide ribosomal RNA is filed under the name uncultured bacterium. RNAcentral describes it as "partial 16S ribosomal RNA". It matches the Rfam family "Bacterial small subunit ribosomal RNA", at positions 28 to 507 of the family's 1533-position model. The record is from RNAcentral.